RNAcentral lists this ribosomal RNA (624 nucleotides) under uncultured archaeon. RNAcentral describes it as "bacterial SSU rRNA". It matches the Rfam family "Archaeal small subunit ribosomal RNA", at positions 147 to 776 of the family's 1478-position model. The record is from RNAcentral.
UAAUACUCCAUAGAUUAGAGACACUGGAAUGUUCUUUAGUCGAAAGUUCUGGCGCCUUAGGAUGGAUCUGCGGUCGAUUAGGUUGUUGUUGGGGUAACGGCCCAACAAGCCUGUAAUCGAUACGGGUUGUGGGAGCAAGAACCCGGAGAUGGAUUCUGAGACACGAAUCCAGGCCCUACGGGGCGCAGCAGGCGCGAAAACUUUACAAUGCGGGCAACCGUGAUAAGGGAACCUCGAGUGCCUGUAAAUGCAGGCUGUUCAGAUGCCUAAAACACAUCUGGAGAAAGGGCCGGGCAAGACCGGUGCCAGCCGCCGCGGUAAUACCGGCGGCUCGAGUGGUGGCCACUUUUAUUGGGCUUAAAGCGUUCGUAGCUGGGUUGUUAAGUCUCUUGGGAAAUCUGGCGGCUUAACCGUCAGGCGUCUAAGGGAUACUGGCAAUCUUGGAACCGGGAGAGGUGAGGGGUACUUCGGGGGUAGGAGUGAAAUCCUGUAAUCCUCGAGGGACCACCUGUGGCGAAGGCGCCUCACCAGAACGGCUUCGACAGUGAGGGACGAAAGCUGGGGGAGCAAACCGGAUUAGAUACCCGGGCAGUCCCAGCCGUAAACUAUGCGCGUUAGGUGUAU